This 156-nucleotide ribosomal RNA is filed under the name Salinivibrio kushneri. RNAcentral's name for it is "partial 16S ribosomal RNA". It matches the Rfam family "Bacterial small subunit ribosomal RNA", at positions 1 to 136 of the family's 1533-position model. The record is from RNAcentral. Lineage: Bacteria; Pseudomonadati; Pseudomonadota; Gammaproteobacteria; Vibrionales; Vibrionaceae.
ACUUAAAUUGAAGAGUUUGAUCAUGGCUCAGAUUGAACGCUGGCGGCAGGCCUAACACAUGCAAGUCGAGCGGAAACGGCAGCAUUGAAGCUUCGGUGGAUUUGCUGGACGUCGAGCGGCGGACGGGUGAGUAACGGCUGGGAACCUGCCCUGACG